GGGCCCGAGUUGUAAUUUGUAGAGGAUGCUUUUGAUGCGGUGCCUUCCGAGUUCCCUGGAACGGGACGCCAUAGAGGGUGAGAGCCCCGUCUGGUUGGAUGCCAAAUCUCUGUAAAGCUCCUUCGACGAGUCGAGUAGUUUGGGAAUGCUGCUCUAAAUGGGAGGUAUAUGUCUUCUAAAGCUAAAUACCGGCCAGAGACCGAUAGCGCACAAGUAGAGUGAUCGAAAGAUGAAAAGCACUUUGAAAAGAGAGUUAAAAAGUACGUGAAAUUGUUGAAAGGGAAGCGUUUAUGACCAGACUUGGGCUUGGUUAAUCAUCUGGGGUUCUCCCCAGUGCACUUUUCCAGUCCAGGCCAGCAUCAGUUUUCGCCGGGGGAUAAAGGCUUCGGGAAUGUGGCUCUCUCCGGGGAGUGUUAUAGCCCGUUGCGUAAUACCCUGGCGGGGACUGAGGUUCGCGCAUCUGCAAGGAUGCUGGCGUAAUGGUCAUCAACGACCCGUCUUGAAACACGGACCAAGGAGUCGUCUUCGUAUGCGAGUGUUCGGGUGUCAAACCCCUACGCGUAAUGAAAGUGAACGCAGGUGAGAGCUUCGGCGCAUCAUCGACCGAUCCUGAUGUUCUCGGAUGGAUUUGAGUAAGAGCAUACGGGGCCGGACCCGAAAGAAGGUGAACUAUGCCUGUGUAGGGUGAAGCCAGAGGAAACUCUGGUGGAGGCUCGCAGCGGUUCUGACGUGCAAAUCGAUCGUCAAACAUGGGCAUGGGGGCGAAAGACUAAUCGAACCUUCUAGUAGCUGGUUUCCGCCGAAGUUUCCCUCAGGAUAGCAGUGUUGAACUCAGUUUUAUGAGGUAAAGCGAAUGAUUAGGGACUCGGGGGCGCUAUUUAGCCUUCAUCCAUUCUCAAACUUUAAAUAUGUAAGAAGCUCUUGUUGCUUAAUUGAACGUGAGCAUUCGAAUGUAUCAACACUAGUGGGCCAUUUUUGGUAAGCAGAACUGGCGAUGCGGGAUGAACCGAACGCGAGGUUAAGGUGCCAGAGUAGACGCUCAUCAGACACCACAAAAGGUGUUAGUACAUCUUGACAGCAGGACGGUGGCCAUGGAAGUCGGAAUCCGCUAAGGACUGUGUAACAACUCACCUGCCGAAUGUACUAGCCCUGAAAAUGGAUGGCGCUCAAGCGUCUCACCCAUACCUCGCCCUCAGGGUAGAAACGAAGCCCUGAGGAGUAGGCGGACGUGGAGGUCAGUGACGAAGC
RNAcentral lists this ribosomal RNA (1248 nucleotides) under Fusarium sp. Its description in RNAcentral is "partial large subunit ribosomal RNA". It matches the Rfam family "Eukaryotic large subunit ribosomal RNA", at positions 134 to 1409 of the family's 3401-position model. The record is from RNAcentral. Lineage: Eukaryota; Fungi; Ascomycota; Sordariomycetes; Hypocreales; Nectriaceae.